Molecule: ribosomal RNA, 495 nt
Filed under: uncultured bacterium
Lineage: Bacteria
Description: partial 16S ribosomal RNA
Rfam family: Bacterial small subunit ribosomal RNA
Source: RNAcentral
GAUGAACGCUGGCGGCGUGCCUAAUACAUGCAAGUCGAGCGAACAGAUGAGGAGCUUGCUCCUCUGACGUUAGCGGCGGACGGGUGAGUAACACGUGGAUAACCUACCUAUAAGACUGGGAUAACUUCGGGAAACCGGAGCUAAUACCGGAUAAUAUAUUGAACCGCAUGGUUCAAUAGUGAAAGACGGUUUUGCUGUCACUUAUAGAUGGAUCCGCGCCGCAUUAGCUAGUUGGUAAGGUAACGGCUUACCAAGGCAACGAUGCGUAGCCGACCUGAGAGGGUGAUCGGCCACACUGGAACUGAGACACGGUCCAGACUCCGACGGGAGGCAGCAGUAGGGAAUCUUCCGCAAUGGGCGAAAGCCUGACGGAGCAACGCCGCGUGAGUGAUGAAGGUCUUCGGAUCGUAAAACUCUGUUAUUAGGGAAGAACAAAUGUGUAAGUAACUAUGCACGUCUUGACGGUACCUAAUCAGAAAGCCACGGCUAACUACG